GGAAGUAAAAGUCGUAACAAGGUUUCCGUAGGUGAACCUGCGGAAGGAUCAUUACUGAAAAACUCUUUCAAGUUUUUUAUAUCCCAUUGUUUACUUACCCUGUUGCUUCCACUGGACAGAUUUCAUCUUGUGUGGAAUCUUUUGGCUUGUGUGAAUAAUACUCGCCAAAGAGUUGCCAGUGGCUAGACCUUUUUUUAACCAAAACUUGAUUAAAACACAUUGUCUGAAUAUAUUUCUUGAAUGAAACAAAACUUUCAACAACGGAUCUCUAGGCUCUUGCAUCGAUGAAGAACGCAGUGAAAUGCGAUAAGUAAUGUGAAUUGCAGAAUCUCGUGAAUCAUCGAAUCUUUGAACGCACAUUGCGCCCUAUGGUAUUCCGUAGGGCAUGCCUGUCUGAGCGUCAGCUCCCCCUCACUCAAGUAUUUCUUUAUGUUAUACUUGGAUUGUUUUGGAGACGUAACUAGUUAAUAGUUGCCCUCCAGAAAUUCAUAGGCAGUAUGGUUUGCACUUGAACCAGACGUAAUAAUAAUAAAAUCGUUUGUUUGGGUAUGACUGUACUUGCCUUAACCCCACCCAUUUUUUACUUUGGGUGACCUCAGAUCAGGKAGGGAUACCCGCUGAACUUAAGCAUAUCAAUAAGCGGA
This 644-nucleotide ribosomal RNA is filed under the name Terfezia morenoi. RNAcentral's name for it is "eukaryotic LSU rRNA". The stretch from base 250 to 403 matches the Rfam family "5.8S ribosomal RNA". Lineage: Eukaryota; Fungi; Ascomycota; Pezizomycetes; Pezizales; Pezizaceae. The record is from RNAcentral.